UCUCCUGUAUCUAAAAAUGUAAUGUCAUUUACAAGAUAUUGAAGAAAUUUGCUAAUAGCAAAAAGUUUUCUGAUGUUUUGUUAAAAUGUACUUUCUGUUCUUUGCUGUAUUAAUUUUAAUGGACAGAACAGCUGGGUGUAUAAGCACUAUGACUCUCGUCCAUCGAUUCCUAGGGCCUUAACACAGAACCUUACAUGUAUCAGGCUAACAUCUACUAUUUUUUAAAUUAAUGACUCCGUGGAAGGAUAAGUGAAGGGGUAAAUGUGUUUGUUCUUUAGUUUAUUAAUUGUUUCACAUUUUAAUGAUUAUAAUAUACCUAGUACUAUGUUGGGUCUGCAUAUUUACAGGGACUAAGAACUUUUUGUUGAAUCCAUAUAUUCCAAGUUUCUGCCUUAAGUAAUUCCUGCAGAAGUUCUAGUGGGUUAAGACACAUAUGUUGGAAUCACUCAGUAUCUUUUAAUUGUAGGAUAUAACUACUAGCAUUUUUUAAAAGAUUUUAUUUAUUUAUCCAUGAGUGACACAGAGAGAGGCAGAGAUGCAGUCAGAGGGAGAAGCAGGCCCCAUGCAGGGAGCCCGAUGUGGGACUCGAUCCUAGGAUCCUGGGGUCACGCCCUGAGCCGAAGGCAGAUGCUCAACCACUGAGUCACCCAGGCACCCCUCCUAGUGGGUUUUGAGGAAAUGUCCUGGAUAUUUGCUAAAGGCAUAUCUUAAGGUUUCAAUUAAAUCAAAUCAAUAAAGAUACAGAGGUAGAGGGAACUGGCUAUUUGCUAUGGACAAAUAACUCAUUUGAAAAGUAGCUAUAAGCCCCAAACCGGAGCAGAACUUUUGUAUCAUUCUAACCAUCUCCCAGAGUGCUCAUCGAAAGGAAACAGAGGCUUACAAGGACUGACAUUGAGAAGAUUAAGUAGGGGCUCCUGGGUGGCUCAGCGGUUGAGUGCCUGCCUUCAGCCCAGGGCGUGAUCCUGGGGUCCCGGGAUCGAGUCCCACGUCCGGCUCCCUGCAGGGCGCCCGCUUCUCC
Canis lupus familiaris (dog) is the source of this 1018-nucleotide long non-coding RNA. RefSeq lists it as uncharacterized. The record is from RefSeq and is a predicted model, not a curated record. NCBI's taxonomy places the organism in Eukaryota, Metazoa, Chordata, Mammalia, Carnivora, Canidae. The transcript is spliced from 3 exons.